Molecule: unclassified non-coding RNA, 350 nt
Filed under: soil metagenome
Description: partial contains 5.8S ribosomal RNA, internal transcribed spacer 2, and large subunit ribosomal RNA
Rfam family: 5.8S ribosomal RNA (bases 1-120)
Source: RNAcentral
GAUGAAGAACGUAGUGAAAUGCGAUAAGUAAUGUGAAUUGCAGAAUUCAGUGAAUCAUCGAAUCUUUGAACGCACAUUGCGCCCGCCAGUAUUCUGGCGGGCAUGCCUGUUCGAGCGUCAUUACAACCCUCAGGCCCCCGGGCCUGGCGUUGGGGAUCGGCGGAGCCCCCCGUGGGCACACGCCGUCCCCCAAAUGCAGUGGCGGUCCCGCCGCAGCUUCCAUCGCGUAGUAGCUAACACCUCGCGACUGGAGAGCGGCGCGGCCACGCCGUAAAACACCCAACUCUUCUGAAGUUGACCUCGAAUCAGGUAGGAAUACCCGCUGAACUUAAGCAUAUCAAUAGCGAGGA